GAUGAACGCUGGCGGCGUGCCUAAUACAUGCAAGUCGAGCGAACAGACGAGGAGCUUGCUCCUCUGACGUUAGCGGCGGACGGGUGAGUAACACGUGGAUAACCUACCUAUAAGACUGGGAUAACUUCGGAAAACCGGAGCUAAUACCGGAUAAUAUAUUGAACCGCAUGGUUCAAUAGUGAAAGACGGUUUUGCUGUUACUUAUAGGUGGAUCCGCGCCGCAUUAGCUUGUUGGUAAGGUAACGGCUUACCAAGGCAACAAUGCGGAGCCGACCUGAGAGGGAGAACGGCCACAGUGAAACAGAGACACGGUCCAGAAUCCAACGGAAGGCAGCAGUAGGGAAUCUUCCGCAGUGGGCGAAAGCCUGACGGAGCAACGCCGCGUGAGUGAUGAAGGUCUUCGGAUCGUAAAACUCUGUUAGUAUGAAAGAACAAAUGUGUAAGUAACUAUGCACGUCUUGACGGUACCUAAUCAGAAAGCCACGGCUAACUACGUG
This 497-nucleotide ribosomal RNA is filed under the name uncultured bacterium. RNAcentral's name for it is "partial 16S ribosomal RNA". It matches the Rfam family "Bacterial small subunit ribosomal RNA", at positions 28 to 507 of the family's 1533-position model. The record is from RNAcentral.